AUACGUAGGGGGCGAGCGUUGUCCGGAAUGAUUGGGCGUAAAGGGCGCGUAGGCGGCGCGGUAAGUCUGGAGUGAAAGUCCUGCUUUCAAGGUGGGAAUUGCUUUGGAUACUGCCGCGCUUGAGUGCAGGAGAGGUUAUCGGAAUUCCCGGUGUAGCGGUGAAAUGCGUAGAGAUCGGGAGGAACACCAGUGGCGAAGGCGAGUAACUGGACUGCAACUGACGCUGAGGCGCAAAAGUGUGGGGAGCAAACAGGAUUAGAUACCCUGGUAGUCCACACUGUAAACGAUGAAUGCUAGGUGUAAGAGGUAUCGACCCCUUUUGUGCCGGAGUCAACACAAUAAGCAUUCCGCCUGGGGAGUACGGCCGCAAGGUUGAAACUCAAAGGAAUUGACGGGG
RNAcentral lists this ribosomal RNA (397 nucleotides) under uncultured bacterium. RNAcentral describes it as "partial 16S ribosomal RNA". It matches the Rfam family "Bacterial small subunit ribosomal RNA", at positions 523 to 918 of the family's 1533-position model. The record is from RNAcentral.